RNAcentral lists this transfer RNA (75 nucleotides) under bacterium. RNAcentral describes it as "tRNA-Val". It matches the Rfam family "tRNA". From Rfam's summary of the family: Transfer RNA (tRNA) molecules are approximately 80 nucleotides in length. Their secondary structure includes four short double-helical elements and three loops (D, anti-codon, and T loops). The record is from RNAcentral.
GCGCCCUUAGCUCAGUGGUAGAGCGUUCGAUUCACAUUCGAAAGGUCGUAAGUUCGAUCCUUACAGGGCGCACCA